This is a long non-coding RNA of Gopherus flavomarginatus (Mexican gopher tortoise), 404 nucleotides long. RefSeq lists it as uncharacterized. The record is from RefSeq and is a predicted model, not a curated record. NCBI's taxonomy places the organism in Eukaryota, Metazoa, Chordata, Testudines, Testudinidae. The transcript is spliced from 3 exons.
GGAUAUUAGUGCCUAGGUACCCCUGGCCCUGGAUACCGGUGGGGAUCAGGAUCUAAGGUCCCCGGGGCCCUGGAUAUCGGUGGGGAUUAGUGUCUAAGGUCCCUGGGGCCCUGGAUACCGGUGGGGAUCAGUGUCUAAGGUCCCCGUGGUCCUGGAUACCGGUGGGGAUCAGUGUCUAAGGUAACCCUGGCCCUGGAUACCGGUGGGGAUCAGUGUCUAAGGUCCCCGGGGCCCUGGAUACUGGUGGGGAUCAAUGUCUAAGGUCCCCAUGGCCCUGGAUACCGGUGGGGAUCAGUGUCUAAGGUCCCCGGGGCCCUGGAUGCCGGUGGGGAUCAGCGUCUAAGGUCUCCAUGGCCCUGGAUACCGGUGGGGAUCAGUGUCUAAGGUCCCCGGGGCCCUGGAUA